Molecule: long non-coding RNA, 272 nt
Organism: Perca fluviatilis (European perch)
Lineage: Eukaryota; Metazoa; Chordata; Actinopteri; Perciformes; Percidae
Exons: 3
Source: RefSeq, a predicted model, not a curated record
UGUUAACUUGGCUGACGUGUUGGUUGGAGUAUCUGGUACGAGUACUCCCAGGUUGAAAAGGAGUCACGUCGCAGCUGGCAAGUCGUCAAGAAAACUGUCCAGCCUCCAGAUUUGUGUGAUCCUCCCAACGUGAUCCUGUGUUUCCUCUGUUCUCCCUGGUAGAUUUCUGCAGGAAGCCUUUAACAAUGGGACCCCUCCAGAGGGUCUGAAACCCAGCUAUGAUAUCGGAGCCAGUGUCUCCUAUUGGUUUACUACCCAGGAGCUGUGAUCAG